RNAcentral lists this long non-coding RNA (1083 nucleotides) under Oreochromis niloticus (Nile tilapia). Its description in RNAcentral is "lncRNA (ENSONIG00000036794.1)". Lineage: Eukaryota; Metazoa; Chordata; Actinopteri; Cichliformes; Cichlidae. The record is from RNAcentral.
CACGGUGGAUAUCCAGCGGGAGCAGGCGGUGGAGGAAGAGCUGCGGGACCAGACCGAGCGCCACCUGAAAAGGAUUGGGGAUCUGGCGGCGCUGUUCUGGGCCUGUGCGCCACCCCACAGGGGUGUCCCGACGGUGGUGAAGCAGUGGAGGAGCCGCAUGAGGCACUUCAGCGACCCGAGGUGGUAGACGAGGGGCGCAGCGGUCCGCUCCGGCUGGAGGAGGAAGAGCAGCCGGGUGAAGGGCUGCUCCUGCCGGGAGCGGUGGAGGAGCCGCUCCAGUCGGAAACGGCAGACGAGGCACGCGAGGGUCUACACCUGCCGGAGGUAGAGGAGCCGCUGCAGGAAGGGCUGCUUCAGCCGGGAGCGGUGGAGGAGGCGCUCCAGCUGGAGGCAGCAGAUGAGGUACGUGAGGGUCUACACCUACCCUACCGGAGGAAGAGGAGCCGCUCCAGCCAGAGGUGGACGAGGGGCGAGAGGGGCUGUGCCUGCUGGAGGCGGAGGCUCCGCGCGGGGAGCAGCUGUGCGAGGAGACGGAGGUCCCUGGUCCAGGGCAUCCUGCGCGGCCAGAGCUGGAGGCAAAGGAGCGGGACGGCCUUGCUAAGCCGGGGGUCGGCGGGCUGGCCAGUCCAGCCUCGACGCCACCAGUCGAUUUGGCGCGCCCAACGUCUGCCCAGCCGCCUGUGGUCAGGAGCUCACGGCCAUGCCUGUGGGGCCGUGUUCGCUUGUUACGCAGCCGACCUCUGGACCAGCUUCGCCAUCGCCGCUGGAUACGCGGGCGCCGAUGUUUUGGGCCGAGUCUCGCCCCAGAUGGCUCCCCGGCCUCAAUCGGGCGAUGGGGGUGUGUGGUGGGGCGUGGUCUGCGGUGCCAUGCGGACGCACCUGCACGGCAUCCGCAAUCACGCCCGCCCUUGUAAAACACGGGCACUCAGGGGUUGGUGUGGGGUUUGUGGUGGUGUGAUGCAAAUGCUAAAUAAAGAUGGCUCAAAACAUGGAUCUCUGACUUCCGGGUGUCAUGGCGCAGUGAGUGGACAUGUUUGGAGACUGCUCCCUACAAUCGGGAUAGAAAACACCGAAACUCAUUAA